GCGCCCUUAGCUCAACUGGAUAGAGCGCCGGUCUUCGGAACCGAAGGUUGGGGGUUCGAAUCCCUCAGGGCGUAC
Molecule: transfer RNA, 75 nt
Filed under: candidate division WS6 bacterium OLB20
Lineage: Bacteria
Description: tRNA-Arg
Rfam family: tRNA
About the family: Transfer RNA (tRNA) molecules are approximately 80 nucleotides in length. Their secondary structure includes four short double-helical elements and three loops (D, anti-codon, and T loops).
Source: RNAcentral